Molecule: long non-coding RNA, 812 nt
Organism: Belonocnema kinseyi
Lineage: Eukaryota; Metazoa; Arthropoda; Insecta; Hymenoptera; Cynipidae
Exons: 3
Source: RefSeq, a predicted model, not a curated record
GUACAUGAAGUUUAAUAAUUUGUUAACUUCGGGUGCCAAGACUUCGACAGUUUUCUCAUAAAUUUCGACCCUGUUUGGUUGCUCAUUAGACUUUGGUUGUGGAAUUGCACGAGAACAACAUCUCCAAGUAUAAAGCAUAACCGCAUGUUCCAAACCUUCUUCCAAAAGUUCAUUCUACAAAAAAAAUACAUGUAAAAAUUAUGAAAAUAUUUCUCGAAAUGCAACUAUUAGUCAUAUUUUAAGAGCAAAAAGCAUACCAAGCUCGCAUGCACCGUAGCUUCCUCGAUAUAUUUGGCGAUUCCAGUAACAAAUCCAUUCCGAUCUUCGAAAUUUGUAUCGAAAUUUGCUUGGUAGACAACAGAACAAGGUUGUGCUUCGAUGCACGGUUGUUCGUCAGGCAAGAAUGCAGGAUCUUCAAAAAACUAUUAAAGCACUCGCGACAUAAUUUUGGAGCAUUGGCAAAGGCAGAAAAAGUAGAAUCUAAAUGAACAAAAAACACUUUUAUAUUGAGAGGCGACGAUAGAAACAGAAUUGAAAUACUUUUUUAAUGAAGAAAUUUCACUUAUUUUGCCGAAAACACAGAAGAAUGAUAUCCUUUGACUUUAUGAGAGUAAAAUAGAAGAAAUGGUCAUUUUUCAACGACUCACCCUUAAAAGGGUUUUGCAAGGGAGAUGCGCAAUUUAAAAAAUCCGUAAAUGACGAGCUCCACCCUUCGAAAUGUCAAAGUAAAACAUCCGUAGCAAACAUGGCGGUCGGUACUCGGCCUGUCAGAAUCAGAAAUAAAAUAAAUCUCUGGUCAUCUUUGGUCGUAC